AGAACAUGACAGGGGCGCCUUGUGGCUGAGAUGACGGAGUUUAUCCGCGGUCCCUCUAACCUGAUAUGGGUAAUGCCAACGUAGGGAGCUUAUGUUAUAUACCGU
Molecule: regulatory RNA element, 105 nt
Rfam family: TPP riboswitch aptamer (THI element)
About the family: Vitamin B(1) in its active form thiamin pyrophosphate (TPP) is an essential coenzyme that is synthesised by coupling of pyrimidine and thiazole moieties in bacteria. The previously detected thiamin-regulatory element, thi box was extended, resulting in a new, highly conserved RNA secondary structure, the THI element, which is widely distributed in eubacteria and also occurs in some archaea. Analysis of operon structures identified a large number of new candidate thiamin-regulated genes, mostly transporters, in various prokaryotic organisms.
Source: Rfam